This 588-nucleotide ribosomal RNA is filed under the name uncultured bacterium. RNAcentral's name for it is "bacterial SSU rRNA". It matches the Rfam family "Bacterial small subunit ribosomal RNA", at positions 338 to 916 of the family's 1533-position model. The record is from RNAcentral.
CCUACGGGGGCAGCAGUGGGGAAUUUUGGACAAUGGGCGCAAGCCUGAUCCAGCCAUGCCGCGUGUGGGAAGAAGGCCUUCGGGUUGUAAACCACUUUUGUCAGGGAAGAAACGGUCUGAACUAAUACUUUGGACUAAUGACGGUACCUGAAGAAUAAGCACCGGCUAACUACGUGCCAGCAGCCGCGGUAAUACGUAGGGUGCAAGCGUUAAUCGGAAUUACUGGGCGUAAAGCGUGCGCAGGCGGCUUUGCAAGACAGAUGUGAAAUCCCCGGGCUCAACCUGGGAACUGCAUUUGUGACUGCAUGGCUAGAGUACGGUAGAGGGGGGAUGGAAUUCCGCGUGUAGCAGUGAAAUGCGUAGAUAUGCGGAGGAACACCGAUGGCGAAGGCAAUCCCCUGGACCUGUACUGACGCUCAUGCACGAAAGCGUGGGGAGCAAACAGGAUUAGAUACCCUGGUAGUCCACGCCCUAAACGAUGUCAACUGGUUGUUGGGAGGGUUUCUUCUCAGUAACGAAGCUAACGCGUGAAGUUGACCGCCUGGGGAGUACGGCCGCAAAGGUUGAAACUUCAAAUUGAAUUGACGG